AAGGCCUUACAUGGUAAUUCGGACAUUCGUGGUUUAUUUUGCCAGUAAUGUUGAUUUCCCCCAGUAUAUUGCCCUAAGGUAGUUAAAAAAGAGGCAGUUUUCACUUACAAGUACUGAAAAAACUCUGAAAUGGUCAGGUUUUACUGCUUAGCCUGCUUUUUAAAGAAAAGGUAGCGACACAAGAGUUUGGCUUAUUAGUUGUCUCCAUCUGCUGGCGGAAUAGAAAUGUGCUUUAUUUGUCUGACUUCAUGGAAUUCAGAGAUCAAAAUACGAAAAAAAUGACAUCACAUUUUCAUGCUGCUUUACUAAAAUUGGGAUUAGAAAGAUUAUAGUUAUUUUCUGAAUGAUUAUUUCAUUCUGACAACAGUAACCAAGUACUUAAAAACUUGGGGUUAGUCGUACCGAAUGCUAUUCAACUUCAUCUCCUCCUUUUGGGAUGGAGCUGCAGAGGUACCACACUAUCAGGUAUCUCUGUGGGACAAAUCCUUUCAGUUUUAAAACCGGAAAGAUCUUAUUUCUCUACUUUUAUUAACAUUCUAGUAUAUUUACAUUUUCAAAUGCCAUUACUCAUAUUCCAUUAAACCAUGGAGUGAGUAAGUAUGUCUGUAUUAAAUUGCAAGAAAGAAAAGACGUACAUGGAAUAUAAUUGUACAGGUGGCAUUAGAGAUUCAUAUUUAUUAUUUAAAAGAUAAAUUUUUGAAGAAUUACAUUGUUUAGUUCAGCAACGCGAUGCACAACUACAACUCUUCUGUAAUGAAACAAAACUAAAUCAUUUCUAAUUGUUGUUUCGGUUAUGCUGUGCAUGUUAAAGAAUCAGCAUAUGUAAAAAUGCCUACUUAAAUUAUCAGGUAGAAACACUAGGCCAGGUGUGGUUCUUUUUUUUAAAUUAUUUUUUAAUGAGCUGCAUUUUAGAAUUUAAAACACUGGUUAUUUCCAGUAUUUGGAAUUUAUUCGAUCUCUGGUAAUUCCUAACAUAGGAGCUCGGGGAUUUAAUUUUUGACUCUGAAGAGCACUAUGUUGUUUUCCUUUUUCUUUGUACACUACCUCCAACCCCCAAGUUAGUGCCUUCGAAGGUGUGCUGGGAAAGCCAGAGCAGCCUCAUUGGGAAAUUGCACUCUUUCACUUGUGAACUGAAUACACACUGGUGGUAAUGAAACAGAUGUUCAUGUUGUAAAUUCUAUUAUUGCAAAGCAGGUACAAAAGAGGAAUCGGAACCCAGGGUGACAUUGACUGGGGUUUGUAUCUCUCGGCAUGGUUGCCCUUUUCUUAUGAAAGGUUCCUGGAAAAGAGAGGGGAGGAUGAAAAUGGAAGUAAGUAAAAGCUAUUCUAGGCGUAUAGCUUGAGGCAGUCUGUAUCAAAGGAACGAUUGUCUCUGUGCACACACACUGCAUGGUCUGCACCAGUCAAAAAAAUAAUUUCACGGGAGAGGUGAGCUUAACCUCUUUACUCUUCCACCAGAGCACCUUGAUGUUAAACGCAGCAUCCAGUUGCAUGAUCGAUAGGAUUUUACUUCACAAUAGGUGAAUAUUUGGAGAAGUCUUACCACAAUCUUCAGGAAUUAGUCUUUUUUAUUUUUAUUUUUUAAACUUGCUACCACCAUUGGAUAGUGGGGAUUUCACACAUGCAUCGUGAGUGUGUGUCAGUUGCAAAUAAUGGACAGUUAAUCCCCUUUAAAAUACAUUAUCCUUGGUCUCUGCAAAAGUAAGACUUCUGUUUUUGUUUACGUACAAAUUGAAACCAAGGAACUCAAUCAGUCUUUGUCCAAAUCUUAGAAAUUCUUACUUUUGCAAGCACAACUCAAAAUUAAAGGGAAAAAAAAAAAAAAGGUUCUAUUAAUCUGCUUUGAAAGUAAGUGAAAAUUCUACAAAAAUAUUAGAUGUUGUAUCCUCUAACCUACUAUGAGAAAUACCUGAUGGACUUAUCAGUGCCAGUGUGUAAACUUGUAUAUUUUAAGCCAAGCAAUUUUUUGCUGUGAUGGAAAUGAUUGACUUACUUACUUGGGUCAGCGGGUGGGGCAGAAGAGAGAUGAUAGUUCACAGAAUAACCUGUGAACUUUCACCCCUCUAUAUGGAAACUUGUUUCAGGGUCAAAUCCUUGUAGCUGCCUUCUUGCCACGGUCAAUGCCAGCCCUACUAUUCACAACACUGCGGCCAUCGAGGCCUAGGAUCAGUUCUUAAGAGCAGCCCCUGUAACUGGAGGAAUGGGAGCUCAGCUGAUGAGAAAAAUGGGUUGGAGAGAAGGAGAAGGGCUUGGAAAAAACAAAGAAGGCAGUGUCGAGCCAAUUAUGGUUGACUUUAAGACUGAUCGAAAAGGUAAGCACUUCCUUAAGUGUUUUAUGAUAGUGUAAACUUAUGCUUCUUUGGAAGGUAGGCAAAAUAGCUUGAAGUAUUAAGCUCCUAGGUGCAGCUUCCCUGCAAAAAUGUACAGAAUGAUGACUAGUUUUCAAGGCCUGGAUUACUUUUGUAGGUCCUGUCCUUAUGCCGGUGAACUCUUCAAGAAGUUCAUUAAUUCCCCUUAACCUUUGCCUUCCACUUGAAAAAGUGCUUCUCUGUGGCUCUUAAACUGGAGGUACGCUUCAGUUGGAAAUAUAGAAAAGGCAAGGACAGGGACAUGAAUGGUUGAAAAGCUUCUGUGGUUGACCUAGAGAAAGUGGCUGAAGCAGAAAUGGGGCAGGGUAGAAGGUGGAAUGCUUGAUUGUCUUUAAGCUGUGGUGACAGCUGAAGUCCUGACAUGAAGAGAAUGUCACACAGAUUCUUAGCUCUUCCAAAUGGGUUGUUUACUUUCUUAGCCAUCUGAUCUAACUGCUUUUCCAUUUCCUAGUUUGAUUGUGUUACAGCUACCUCUGCUCAACUGCAGUGAUGUUUCCUUGCUUGCUUUCAUUUAUUAUUUCUCCUCCUUUAUAAAGUCCAUGGCCACAGGUGGAAAAUUGUUGCACUUGUCUCAUCUGAUAGAAGAGACUUGCAGGCAGCGAGCUGCUGCUUAAACUGGCAACGUGACUUAGACAGCUGGCCAUCUUGCCAGCGUAUUCCGUGUGACUUCUGUAUUCAGAGGAGGCGUUUAUGAAAAGCUUUUCAUCCAAAAUACCUACAGAAAUUUUUAAAACUUCAAAUAAUAUACGUGGAAUUUAUCGUUUAAUUAUUCAAUUAUGCAGGUUAUCAAAGUAAACAAAUGAACAUUGACUGCAGAAAUCAUCCUUGUAGUUGAUCUCCUCAAUGUUAAAAAUAGUGGAAACAAAAAAUAAAAAAUCUCAAACUGGAGAUCUUUAACAUAUUACAUGGAUCACAACUAGUAUUAAAGCAUGAAAUGCUUUGAAUUAUGGAUUUGUGCCUAUUUCAGUCAAUGCUCGUAAUUGAAGAAAACAAAGCAUGAAAGUGCAAAUGUCAUGAAGUUUAUUUAUGGAGAUGCUAGAUCUCAGUACAGAGAUAGCCAUGCUCAGUUGAUCAAACCAGUGGUUAAAAUACAAAAUAAUUCAGCUUGAAUAUUAAGGUAGAACAGGAGAAAUUUUCCUAAGUUAGGAAAAUACCUAUUGCUUUUCAAAGUCUUAAAACCUAGCAGUAUACUAUGAUUUUAUAAACAGAAGUGCAACAGUUUGAAAAUGCAGGACACAAUAAUACGUACAUUUCGGUUUAAUGUGAACGAUGUGCAGACUUGCUUUUCAGCUGUUUUUCUUUGCAACCUUUCCAUUUAAAGGGGGAAAGGAUACUCUGGUGACAGUGAUUACCAAGAAAGUAUUAGAAAAAUCUUCUUUCUGUAACUGUUAUUCAGUUGCUCUGGUCCUUGUAGGUGCUGUCUUGUGCUGGUAAGAGUUCUUUCAGUGUAGUUUUAUGAAUAUCAGUCAGAGGAAAGAAAUUGAGAACAGUCAAUUUGAAUAUAUAUAUUUUUAAGCAGUCUGCAUAAUGCAGCAGUGGAUUUUUGUGAUGAGGAGGGAAGAGUUAGCUGUUAAUUAUAUUGCUUGCAUUGUGUCACAUCACAGGAGAAGGGCAGUAUUGUUGCACAACCUGUGACUGUUUCAUAAAUUAAAACAAUUUUUGUGCUACACAGCUUUGUUACAGCUCAAGUUUCUCAUUUUAGAAAGUGUACAGCAGGUCUUCAUGUGGUUUCAGGUAGAAAUUUCUUUAAUGCUUGUGGGAUUUUCAAUUGAAAUUUCAAGGUGUGAAGCAGGAUCAGAUCUGCGUUGUGCUGGGCAGUCUGUAACAGAGAGCUUGGUGUCUGCUCAGUAACCCGGGGAAGCAGUGAGAUGGAGCUAAAAGAGAGCAAUUUCUGGCACGUGGUAGAUUCACCUGUAAAUACUGCUAACCCUUGUGAUGGAUGAGCUUUGCUUAAUUUUUAUCUGUUUAAUACAUGUAUGUUUUUAAUAGACAAAGUGUUUUGUUAUUUUCACAAAAAAAAUCUGAAUGUGUUGUGUUGAUACAGAAUACUUAUUAAUGUUGGGCAAAGUAUACAUUGUAAGUGACAGCUUGCAUUAUGGAGAAGCAAGUGCUUCAUGUGUAAAGGAGUAGCUGAACAGUGAUUAUAGAUUUGAGACCAUUAGGUGAAAAACUUCAUACACAAAUUUCAUACAAAAACAAACAAACACAAAACUUCAUACAAAAACUUGGUACACUUUCUACACGUAGAAAGUCAAACCUUCUUAAGUUCAGUGUGGAGGCUUAAAGACUCUUAAAGGCUUUGGAAGAAAGCACUUGGUAUAUGAAUGCCACUGGAAGGUGGAAGUUUUUAUACAAGAACUGUCAGUAAGUGACCAGUUUGUUUAAAAACAAAACGAAAAAACAGCAAGCACACAACCAAAAUCAAACCCCAACCAAUCCGAAACACAAGUAGACAGAAACCUCCAUGUUUUUAGAACUUAUCCCCAAAAUAAAAUAUUGUUUUUAGAUAUGGGAACAAGCAGUUUGUUGAGGAGCUAUUCAGCGGGUUGUACUAAGACAGGAACCAAAAGGUCAGCCUGUGUCAUGGCUUUUUAUUAGACCUUGUUUUUUUGCACCCCAAGUCACAUCUGUGAUCCUCUGAGAGGCAGCAUUGAAACAGAAGCCUUCUUGUGCUUUGCUGUAAUCCAGUAAGUUGCUCUUGUCUCUGUUUAAAGGAGCUUGGUGCACCAGCUCUCAGCAAAUAUCAGAGCUAAUUGGAGUCUGUUGCAGCCUUUCUGAGAAUUCAUCCUGAGCUGACAGGGGUGAGAUGUGGAGAAGAGGAUGGUGAUGUGGAGGGAGGGAAAAGCAGUAUUAAUGCAGAUGAAUGAAGUAAGAGCUUUUUGUUUGGGGGAAACUUUUUGGAUGUUUUUCAUAUCAGCUUCUGUAAGGAGGAGAAAAAAAAAAGAAAAGAUUGUGAAAAUAUGUAUAGGACUUAAUGCCACCUGAGAAGUCACGCAAGAGCUGCAUGAAUAUUGGGAUGAGAAUAUGGUAAGGAGAGGAAGGUUUUCUUUUCAAGUAAAACCAAUAAGCAAGCA
Meleagris gallopavo (turkey) is the source of this 5443-nucleotide non-coding RNA. NCBI's taxonomy places the organism in Eukaryota, Metazoa, Chordata, Aves, Galliformes, Phasianidae. The record is from RefSeq and is a predicted model, not a curated record.